UAAAAGUGAAUCAAUCCUAAUCUAUGGGUCAGUCAAGUAGCUGGCCAGCUAAUUAAAGACGCCGAUAUAUUUGUUCUUAAUUUUAAAAAGGAGAAGAAAAUUACUACCUACAUAUUUUUUUACUCGUUUUGCCGCGUAUUUUUAAUGGAACGUCGUUAUAACUUAUAACAUUUAUCAAAUUUCUUUAAAAAAACACGUUUUUAAUAAAAUACUAUGGGAAAAAACAAGAGUUGUGAUUCUUCGACUAGGAAGAUUAUAAUGAACUUAUAUGAUAAGGGUUGGUCAUACAGAAAAAUAGCAAACCACAUAAAUUGUUCAAAAGACAUGGUUUUUAAUGCUAUCAAACAUUUUAAGCAUUUCAACACUACUGAAAACAUGCCUAGAAAAACCAGGCCAAGAAAGACUACUCCGCGAGAAGACUUGCACAUCGUGUUGUUGGCAAAAAAGGAUCCAUUAAUGGGAUCAGAACUGAUCCGUUCGGAGUUAUACGGUGCGGAAGGAACGACGGGUGUGUCUGGAAGAACUGUCAGACGAAGAUUAUGUGAGGCAAACUUGUAUGGAAGGGCCACACGGAAGGAUUCGGUGUUGGACCUGUGAGAAAGAUAGAUGGCAACAUGGAUAGAUUACAGUAUAAGAAUAUCUUAGAAGGGACCAUGCUACCCCACGCCCAUCAACAUUUACCAGAAAAUUGGACAUUUCAGCAUGACAAUAAUCCCAAACAUACAGCUAAAGUGGUAAAAGACUUCUUGAGCAAUGAGUCCGUGAGGGUAUUGGAUUGGCCGCCUUGCAGUCCCGACCUAAAUCCAAUAGAAAACUUGUGGCACCAUGUAAAUAAAGCAGUGGCUUCAAAACGUUCAUCAAACGUAAAUCAACUUUACGAUGCAUUUAAAGAAGCAUGGGAGCAAAUUCCAGUAGCUACUUGUUCAAAAUUGAUCGCUUCCAUGCCCAAGAGAUGUCGUGCCGUUAUUGAGGCAAAUGGACAUGCAACCAAAUAUUGAUAUGCAUCGUAAUGUUUCAUUGAUCUGUACCUCACCUCUGACAAGUUCUGUUGAUGAUAUUUAGACUUACUAUUAAAUAAUAUUCCCAUAAAUAUUUAAAAAUAAAGUACCUAAUAUGUUCCAAA
This is a long non-coding RNA of Helicoverpa armigera (cotton bollworm), 1123 nucleotides long. RefSeq lists it as uncharacterized. The transcript is spliced from 2 exons. The record is from RefSeq and is a predicted model, not a curated record. NCBI's taxonomy places the organism in Eukaryota, Metazoa, Arthropoda, Insecta, Lepidoptera, Noctuidae.